AUUGAACGCUGGCGGCAGGCUUAACACAUGCAAGUCGAGCGGAGAUGAGGUGCUUGCACCUUAUCUUAGCGGCGGACGGGUGAGUAAUGCUUAGGAAUCUGCCUAUUAGUGGGGGACAACAUUCCGAAAGGAAUGCUAAUACCGCAUACGUCCUACGGGAGAAAGCAGGGGAUCUUCGGACCUUGCGCUAAUAGAUGAGCCUCAGUCGGAUUAGCUAGUUGGUGGGGUAAAGGACUACCAAGGCGACGAUCUGUAGCGGGUCUGAGAGGAUGAUCCGCCACACUGGGACUGAGAAACGGCCCAGACUCCUACGGGAGCCAGCAGUGGGGAAUAUUGGACAAUGGGGGAAACCCUGAUCCAGCCAUGCCGCGUGUGUGAAGAAGGCCUUAUGGUUGUAAAGCACUUUAAGCGAGGAGGAGGCUACUGAGACUAAUACUCUUGGAUAGUGGACGUUACUCGCAGAAUAAGCACCGGCUAACUCUGUGCCAGCCGCCGCAGUAA
RNAcentral lists this ribosomal RNA (501 nucleotides) under uncultured bacterium. RNAcentral describes it as "partial 16S ribosomal RNA". It matches the Rfam family "Bacterial small subunit ribosomal RNA", at positions 30 to 523 of the family's 1533-position model. The record is from RNAcentral.